This is a long non-coding RNA of Carya illinoinensis, 567 nucleotides long. RefSeq lists it as uncharacterized. The transcript is spliced from 3 exons. NCBI's taxonomy places the organism in Eukaryota, Viridiplantae, Streptophyta, Magnoliopsida, Fagales, Juglandaceae. The record is from RefSeq and is a predicted model, not a curated record.
UUUCGGUGAGUACCUCUUCCUUCAACUCCUUUUCUUCUUCCUCCCGAGUUUUUCUCUCCCAAGUCCCGUUUAGUCCACAUCCUAGCAGUUACAUGGGUUGGUUCUCAUUUAUCAUUUUCCCAUAACAGACUCCACCUCUCACUUUUGCUUUCUCUUUUCCACUGCAUUUUGCUGCGAUUUCUUGGUGGAUUUUCCAGAUUCGUUGUUUUCGAGCUCUGCCGAAUGGUGGUUGUGAUACUGUUAGAGAUCGGACUUAAGGCUAGAUAACACGCUGCAAAAGUUAAGAUGAUUUUGAUGAUAUAGCUGAGGAUCAAUAAUAGAGUUUGUGGCAAGAAUAGUUGAGGGUUGUGGUUGAGUACCUUGGAGUACUAGUGCUGUUCGAAGAUUUAUUUAUUAAGUAAUUUGAUUUCAGUAUGUUUAGAUGAUUAUGAAGACUUAUGUAUUAUUUCAGUUCAUUAUGUUAAUAGAGACAUGUGGAGAAGUUGAUUUAUUUUAUUUGGAUUAUUGUAUUGAGGAGUUGAUGAAUUGAUAUGUGCAGUUAAUUAUAUUAGAGGAAUUUAUGUUUGA